CCCUACGUGUCGCAGCAGUGAGGAAUAUUGGUCAAUGGGCGCGAGCCUGAACCAGCCAAGUAGCGUGAAGGAUGACUGCCCUACGGGUUGUAAACUUCUUUUAUAAAGGAAUAAAGUGAGGCACGUGUGCCUUUUUGUAUGUACUUUAUGCAUAAGGAUCGGCUAACUCCGUGCCAGCAGCCGCGGUAAUACGGAGGAUCCGAGCGUUAUCCGGAUUUAUUGGGUUUAAAGGGAGCGUAGAUGGGUUGUUAAGUCAGUUGUGAAAGUUUGCGGCUCAACCGUAAAAUUGCAAUUGCUACUGGCAGUCUUGAGUACAGUUGAGGUAGGCGGAAUUCGUGGUGUAGCGGUGAAAUGCUUAGAUAUCACGAAGAACUCCGAUUGCGAAGGCAGCUUACUAAACUGCCACUGACAUUGAUGCUCGAAAGUGUGGGUAUCAAACAGGAUUAGAUACCCCAGUAGUC
This 461-nucleotide ribosomal RNA is filed under the name uncultured bacterium. RNAcentral's name for it is "partial 16S ribosomal RNA". It matches the Rfam family "Bacterial small subunit ribosomal RNA", at positions 337 to 795 of the family's 1533-position model. The record is from RNAcentral.